RNAcentral lists this ribosomal RNA (300 nucleotides) under uncultured bacterium. RNAcentral's name for it is "bacterial SSU rRNA". It matches the Rfam family "Bacterial small subunit ribosomal RNA", at positions 399 to 691 of the family's 1533-position model. The record is from RNAcentral.
GCGUGUGUGAAGAAGGCCUGCGGGUUGUAAAGCACUUUCGGGCGGGAAGAAAAGCGUGCGGUUAAUACCCGUGCGACUUGACGUUACCGCCAGAAGAAGCACCGGCUAACUCUGUGCCAGCAGCCGCGGUAAUACAGAGGGUGCGAGCGUUAAUCGGAAUUACUGGGCGUAAAGCGUGCGUAGGCGGCUUCUUAAGUCGGAUGUGAAAUCCCCGGGCUUAACCUGGGAAUUGCAUUCGAUACUGGGAGGCUUGAGUACAGUAGAGGGAAGCGGAAUUCCGGGUGUAGCGGUGAAAUGCGU